Molecule: long non-coding RNA, 810 nt
Organism: Vespula vulgaris
Lineage: Eukaryota; Metazoa; Arthropoda; Insecta; Hymenoptera; Vespidae
Exons: 5
Source: RefSeq, a predicted model, not a curated record
AUGGCGUAGUGGGGGUACUCUUCCAUUCGUGACGACAAUAUAGACGGACCGGCUUUAACGGUAGGUUCAAUUUUGCUUCGAAUUGGGACGAGUGCACAUUGCAGAUCACGUAGCACGCGUUUUCCGUAAGCAGUAUCAAAGAGGUAAUAAUGAAACGGUGUGGUGGGGAUACACUGCCACCUGCAAAGUGAUAUAAGGCGGUCGCCUUUGACAGUGGGUCAAGUUAUGCCACAAAUUUCCAGCAUUCACAUCUCAAUCCUCGUGAAUUAAACCGAGUGGUGGGGGUACUGUACCACGUGGGGGAAAUAUAAGGCGGCCGCCUUUGGCAGUGGGUCCAUUCAUGCCUCGAAUUUCCAUCAUUCAAAUCUCAAUCCUUGCGGUACGCACGCUCCGCAAGUAAAAGAGAAGAGUAAUAAUUAAACGGAGUGGUGGGGAUACUGUACCACUUGGGGGAAAUAUAAGGCGGCCGCCUUUGGCAGUGGGUCCAUUCAUGCCACGAAUUUCCACCAAUCACAUCUCAAUCCUCGCGAAUUAAGCGGAGUGGUGGGGAUACUGUACCACUUGGGGGAAAUAUAAGGCGGCCGCCUUUGGCAGUGGGUCCAUUCAUGCCACGAAUUUCCACCAUUCAAAUCUCAAUCCUUGCGGUUAUUUGACUUUGGAUUUAAAUGCGAAGUGGGGAUACACGGCUUCGAGAGACAACAACAAUAUCGGGUCUUUGGCCGACCUGUAUAGUUCCUGGUUCAGUUGUGCGUUGGACUUUGACCAGUGAACUUAGAAAUUUUUGCACGAUGCCGAAUUCGAGCGAGUAUU